Molecule: ribosomal RNA, 25 nt
Filed under: Globodera pallida
Lineage: Eukaryota; Metazoa; Nematoda; Chromadorea; Rhabditida; Heteroderidae
Description: partial 18S ribosomal RNA
Source: RNAcentral
GGUGAACCUGCCGCUGGAUCAUUAC